RNAcentral lists this non-coding RNA (92 nucleotides) under Salmonella bongori. RNAcentral describes it as "MicF RNA". It matches the Rfam family "MicF RNA". Rfam says of the family: The micF gene is a stress response gene found in Escherichia coli and related bacteria that post-transcriptionally controls expression of the outer membrane porin gene ompF. The record is from RNAcentral. Lineage: Bacteria; Pseudomonadati; Pseudomonadota; Gammaproteobacteria; Enterobacterales; Enterobacteriaceae.
GCUAUCAUCAUUAACUUUAUUUAUUACCGUCAUUCAUUUCUGAAUGUCUGUUUACCCCUAUUUCAACCGAAUGCUUCGCAUUCGGUUUUUUU